UUGUAAUUUGAAGAUGGUGUUCUGGCGCCGGCCCCCUGUCUACGUUCCUUGGAACAGGACAUCACAGAGGGUGAGAAUCCCGUCUGGCGGGGCGGCCUGGCUCCGUGUAGAGCGCCAUCGACGAGUCGAGUUGUUUGGGAAUGCAGCUCUAAGUGGGUGGUAAAUUCCAUCUAAAGCUAAAUAUUGGCGAGAGACCGAUAGCGAACAAGUACAGUGAUGGAAAGAUGAAAAGAACUUUGAAAAGAGAGUGAAAAAGUACGUGAAAUUGUUGAAAGGGAAGGGUAUUGGAUCAGACUUGGUGCUGUGCGAAUAGCGGCCCUUCUUGGGCUGCCCACUCGCACUCCACCGGGCCAGCAUCGGUUUGGGCGGCAAGACAAUGGCGGGGGAACGUGGCACUGCUCUCGGGCAGUGUGUUUAUAGCCCUCGCUGAUGUUGCCUGCCUAGACCGAGGACUGCGGCUUCUGCCUAGGAUGCUGGCGUAAUGAUCCAACACCGCCCGUCUUGA
RNAcentral lists this ribosomal RNA (505 nucleotides) under Williopsis jadinii. Its description in RNAcentral is "Cyberlindnera jadinii partial large subunit ribosomal RNA". It matches the Rfam family "Eukaryotic large subunit ribosomal RNA", at positions 143 to 657 of the family's 3401-position model. Lineage: Eukaryota; Fungi; Ascomycota; Saccharomycetes; Phaffomycetales; Wickerhamomycetaceae. The record is from RNAcentral.